This 217-nucleotide long non-coding RNA is filed under the name Nicotiana benthamiana. RNAcentral describes it as "long non-coding RNA (NBEN_LNC013353)". The record is from RNAcentral. Lineage: Eukaryota; Viridiplantae; Streptophyta; Magnoliopsida; Solanales; Solanaceae.
CUAAAUCAAUCCUAAGACAUGCAGGAUGGAGCAAUCAUAUCCUAAUAACCCAACUUGAUCCUCAACUAUUCAAUUUAUAUUACUCAAACAUGUUGUUCAUUGAUCAACACAAAACGAAUCAAACUAUAAAAAAUCCUGAAGUCCAGUCAAUUAGGAAUCAUUCAAAGCGGAUCAUUGAUGACUUUAAACAGAGGAAAAUAAAUCUGAGUAAACCAAA